RNAcentral lists this small nucleolar RNA (77 nucleotides) under Parastagonospora nodorum SN15. Its description in RNAcentral is "Phaeosphaeria nodorum SN15 small nucleolar RNA R38". It matches the Rfam family "Small nucleolar RNA R38". Rfam says of the family: snoR38 is a C/D box small nucleolar RNA conserved across yeast, human, Arabidopsis and rice. It is encoded in the intron of elongation factor-1 gamma in both pombe and cerevisiae. snoR38 guides the methylation of 2'-O-ribose sites in 28S rRNA. The record is from Rfam by way of RNAcentral. Lineage: Eukaryota; Fungi; Ascomycota; Dothideomycetes; Pleosporales; Phaeosphaeriaceae.
GCGUAAAGGGAUGAGAUAUAUCAUACAGUUAUCCCUGUCUGAAAACUAUUGUUGAAAAUUUGUACUCUGAUUUAUAU